UAGCAAGAUAUGUUGAUUAAGUCACAAGUGGUUCUGGCAUAUUUUCAAGAAUUCUUUGAUUAUUUCACCUGAAAAUUUCAACCAUGGCAAGGUUUUUUUUUUCAGAAUAGUUAAGAAACGUAUGGGGUUGUCUCAAUGCAUAACAUAAUAUUUGUGUAUGAAAAUAUCAUCUUCUGGUCUGAGUUUAAUUGUAUCUUUCACAUCUGAAGAGAUUUGCACAUGAGUUGAUAAACUGGAGAACCUACAAUUGCAUGUUUCUCAACUUCAUUUAGGGGCACAUAUGCUUUAUGGGAUUUGCCAGUAAAAUUUGAAAAUGCAAUGAGCAGAUUUGUGUGACUAGCUUCAGUUAUAUCAUAAAUCGAUCUUGCACUCUAAGAAAUUUCAUAUAGAGAUACAUGUGCAUUUACAUGAAUUGACAAAAAGUAAAGUUCAUAUUUGAGUUGAAUCUCAGAGUUGUUGUCACUAAUGGUUAGCUCCUGAUUAAGUUGCGCCAAGUUAACAAGCUCAAUCAACAAAUCAUCAUUAGAAUUUCAUCUGAUUGCAACAAUGAUUUUGAAUUCGUGGAGGUAGUAAAGAAAGGAGAACCAGCCAACAUUGAAACUUUUCUAUAACUCGAAAUGUUAAAAUUCAAAAAUGUAUAAAAAUACGUACCAAAAGAUUAUAGAGCCACCCAUGGUAUAAUGACAUCCAUAGUAAACAAAGUAUUUCUAACCUAUGAGUAGACACAAAGUCAACAAUGCUACAAGAAAGUAAACAUUUUGGAUUAACCAUAUUGAAUUUUUAUAUGUGUGUACCAAAACACGAAACAUUAGCAAAGGGAAGUAGAUUAACCUAAUCAAUUUUACAUUGAGGUAAAGACCAUCAGCAAGAAAUGAGAGGUAGUUAAUGGCCUCAUCAAUCUCUUUUUGAUCCUUCUUAGUAUGAUUUCCUUGGCGAUGAGUGAAGAAUAUAGAUUCACUUAAAAUUAGGGUACAUAAUUUGCGAUUGCGUGUAUACGACGUGAUUUCAGAAGAAGUAUGUAGACUAGUAGUAUUAUAGCUAAGUGAUGGAUUAAUAAGUGCUAACACAUGCUUAAUAAUUUGACUUUUAGACGUCAUUGUUUGAUUCAUCCAGUUUGGUACUCAUUAGUCACAUCACUUAUAGUUUUCUUAAAUGUGUAUGUUUUAUUGAUAAUGUCAAUGGAUACAAUUAUAGGACCUGAAGGUUAUCUAAGAACAAGAGAAUACAAAGGUAUUUUGUUAUGAGUACAAUGUGAAGAAAUUCAAAUCCCUUUUCUCGUUCUCCGUCCUUCCCUUUUAUAUUUGUUGAGGGUGUGGAUCAUAACAGUGACGUAUCUAUGGCGAGUAUGGUUGGCCUUUAUGAUCGUCUUUAAUGCCUUUAUCUCCUUUACGUUUCGGUUUGAACUGGUCAGCUUGGCAGAAUCACUUUGUCAACUCGGGAUGGGCCUUCGACCUACGUCGGCCCAUUGUCUUUCAAUUGGAUCUUAGCAAUAUUGGACUGGACUCUUGGACCGAAAUCCUCAUAGAGUGACUUAUAUUACUCACCCUCUUUCUUCUCCUUUGCAGGUGAGCAUAACAAAUAGUUGGAUAUAUGGAUUGUUGGUGUUUUGAGAUGACUAUAUAAGACUUUUGUAUGAAAUUUAUUUUGGUUACUGAAUUUUAAAAAUAUUUUCUUAUUUUAUUAAAAACUUUAAUAUUUUAGUUAGUUUUUAAAACAUAAUUUAUCACAAAAAUUAAAACAUAAAUAUUAUUAUUGCAUCCAUAAUAUAAGGUGGCUUGGCCCUUGACGGUUACCAUGGUUGGACUAGAGAGAAGUUAAACCAAAUCAGUGAUUGUGCAUUAAACAACUUUUAUUCAGAGGUAUGCUGGACGUUUAUAAAUACAGUAGAAUAAAAGAUUGUUUUAAGGUAUUUCUAACUUCAUUCUAUUUUCCAAUCUAAAAUAAAAUUUAGAAUAAAAAUGUUAUACUCUGUUUUUACUUUAUAAUAUAAUAAAUAGUGGGUUUACCCUAGAUAUAGAAUAAGUUAUUUUAGAAUCUUAUAUAAUAAAACAGACUUGCCUCUCUCCUCAUUAAGCCACGUCAGCAUGGAGGGAGGGGCUUUUAUUGACACGUGUCACAAUACCAAAGCCUCUGCGAUUGUUUCCGUCGGCUGUUCCGUACUUGAGCGUACUGGGCUUUUAUUAAAAUGAAUAGAUUAGGCCCGAACUUGAGCCCGUUUAGAAACUCAUUCAGUGUUAGGGUUUGUCGUCGUCUGUCUUUCUCUUUCACAUAACGAUGUAAUUCACAGAGUUGAAGCGUCGAUCCAAACUCUUUAACAAGCACCUCUCACCAUGUUUUCUCUCAGAUUGACUAACAAGCACCCAGAUUCCAUGUCUGUUUUCGUUUCUAAUCAAUCUCUCUCCUCCAAAGACGGAUCUAAAGGGACAGCUAGAUAGGUCCAAGAAACAGCAAGAAAGAUGUCAAUCUUUUCUCUCCGGCAUCAGUGCGUUCAGAGCACCUUAUGGACUUUCCAGGCCCUCCUCUGCCCCUGCAGGCUGCGGCCACCAGCCUCAGCUACCAACAACAGCUUAAGAGCCACAAAAUACUGUCUAUAUGGAGAUAUUCAUCAACCUAAACUCAUCAGUGAAAGUGCAGAAAGAGCAGUUAUAGUACCAUAAUCGGACGCUCAUGUGUGACCCUUUUGGAGCAGCAGGGCAUGCUCUUGGAACGGUGUGACAUUUUUCAAAAUUAAACGGUGAGUUAAAGGCCGGUCGGUGUAAGGAAAUUGUUGUUACCCACCUCCUCCGUUUUUGGGAAGCAGAAAGUUGGAGAGCUUAUGGUUCUGGUUAAUUAGCAGGGGAAACUCUGGCGUUCUCGAGGGCGUGUUGUCAAUGGCAAAAAUGGUGGUUGUGUUGCUUUCGUUUUUGGCUACGUUGUCAAUAUUAUCACGGACAUGUAUUCUUUGGUUAGUGAAGCAAAUGGUCAGCAUCACGGACAAAUGAACUCUAUCAGUUAGCCACUGUUGCAUUUUUAUCUACUCAUAGCCUGGGAAUGGACUUUAAUGAGUAUGAUCAACCAAAAAAAAGAAUGUCGAAGAUGGUGGUGAUGAGAAAUUAAAAACUGAGGCAAUUGCUUUGGAAGGAAAUGAAUUUGACUCCUGCACAAAUGCUGCUAUACCCUCUUCACAUUGUCUCUAUUAAUCAAUUAUUCAGGGUUUUCUGGUUUAUAAGGACAAGCUCAGGAAAAAGCUCAGCUCUCUAUUCAAUGAGCUUAAAACAUCAGGAGCCAAACGGCAGCAACGUAGAUUUUAUUGCCCUGUUGUUAAUAUGUCAUUCAACUUUGUGCCUUCAGGCAUGUUCAAUGAAAUCGUAUCUGGUUCGGACAAUGCAAAAUUGGUUUUAGACUGAUUCAUAAUUGGUUUGAGUCUAACAGAAUAUAACCAUUGUUCUAUAAAGAAAAAUCAGUUGUCCUUCACUGAAGUAACACAUCUAAAAUUUGUCUUCUGGUUGUUGAAUUAUUGGGAACGCAAACUAACUAAAAGUUUUAUUUUCUCAUAUAUGCCUUCUAGACAAAACUAGAACAUAAACGUGAAUUUAUGUGAAUUACUAAAUUAUAUUUAAAAAGUCAUAAAUGUCAACCCCCACCCCAUGCUAAAUAUAAUUGUUGUAAUAUUGUGCAUUUGGACUUUUUCAGUGUGAUUGAAGGUAUAUUAUUGUGGUCGUAUCAUAAACCACUAACCCACCAUCACAUUUUAGCUACUCGCGGUGGAGAACGAGCUCUUCAUGGCUGAUGACCCGUCUUCUUAUGAGGCACCUCAAUCUCAUCAGAUAUGAAAGGUGCAGCCACAUCCACGGUUGCAAUGAACAAGAUAUGGAUCACACUUUGCUUCACUUACUACUUUGAUAUAUCUUCUCACUUUUUUGAUAAAUCUUGGUCUUUUUCACAUCUUCAGCAAAUGUCACCCAUAGAACAAGCUAAAGUAGUCAACGAAUUCCAAAAGCAUUUUGCUCAAAUGGAUGUGAUGGUAACAAAAAACUCUAUUCAUUUCUAAGAGCAUAAUACUUAGAAAUUCUGGUGUAGUCGAAAAUACUGGUUGUCAUGUUUAUUCUUAUGCAUAUAUUUGACUUCCUUUUUUUAAUUCAUAAAAUGAUGGACAAAGUAAAAUAAAAUUUAAAUACCUCCAUAUAUUUACUAUAUUUUUCCCUACAAACACAAAAAUAGUUAUGAA
Brassica napus (rape) is the source of this 4207-nucleotide long non-coding RNA. RefSeq lists it as uncharacterized. The transcript has 8 exons. NCBI's taxonomy places the organism in Eukaryota, Viridiplantae, Streptophyta, Magnoliopsida, Brassicales, Brassicaceae. The record is from RefSeq and is a predicted model, not a curated record.